GGGCGCGUAGCUCGGCGGGAGAGCGCUCGUCUCACAGGCGAGAGGUCGCUGGUUCGAUCCCAGCCGCACCCACCA
RNAcentral lists this transfer RNA (75 nucleotides) under Rhodospirillales bacterium. RNAcentral describes it as "tRNA-Val". It matches the Rfam family "tRNA". Rfam says of the family: Transfer RNA (tRNA) molecules are approximately 80 nucleotides in length. Their secondary structure includes four short double-helical elements and three loops (D, anti-codon, and T loops). Lineage: Bacteria; Pseudomonadati; Pseudomonadota; Alphaproteobacteria; Rhodospirillales. The record is from RNAcentral.